This 1045-nucleotide ribosomal RNA is filed under the name Aspergillus wentii. RNAcentral describes it as "SSU rRNA". It matches the Rfam family "Eukaryotic small subunit ribosomal RNA", at positions 53 to 1107 of the family's 1831-position model. The record is from RNAcentral. Lineage: Eukaryota; Fungi; Ascomycota; Eurotiomycetes; Eurotiales; Aspergillaceae.
GCAUGUCUAAGUAUAAGCACUUUAUACUGUGAAACUGCGAAUGGCUCAUUAAAUCAGUUAUCGUUUAUUUGAUAGUACCUUACUACAUGGAUACCUGUGGUAAUUCUAGAGCUAAUACAUGCUAAAAACCCCAACUUCGGGAGGGGUGUAUUUAUUAGAUAAAAAACCAACGCCCUUCGGGGCUCCUUGGUGAAUCAUAAUAACUUAACGAAUCGCAUGGCCUUGCGCCGGCGAUGGUUCAUUCAAAUUUCUGCCCUAUCAACUUUCGAUGGUAGGAUAGUGGCCUACCAUGGUGGCAACGGGUAACGGGGAAUUAGGGUUCGAUUCCGGAGAGGGAGCCUGAGAAACGGCUACCACAUCCAAGGAAGGCAGCAGGCGCGCAAAUUACCCAAUCCCGACACGGGGAGGUAGUGACAAUAAAUACUGAUACGGGGCUCUUUCGGGUCUCGUAAUUGGAAUGAGUACAAUCUAAAUCCCUUAACGAGGAACAAUUGGAGGGCAAGUCUGGUGCCAGCAGCCGCGGUAAUUCCAGCUCCAAUAGCGUAUAUUAAAGUUGUUGCAGUUAAAAAGCUCGUAGUUGAACCUUGGCUCUGGCUGGCCGGUCCGCCUCACCGCGAGUACUGGUCCGGCUGGAGCUUUCCUUCUGGGGAACCUCAUGGCCUUCACUGGCUGUGGGGGGAACCAGGACUUUUACUGUGAAAAAAUUAGAGUGUUCAAAGCAGGCCUUUGCUCGAAUACAUUAGCAUGGAAUAAUAGAAUAGGACGUGCGGUUCUAUUUUGUUGGUUUCUAGGACCGCCGUAAUGAUUAAUAGGGAUAGUCGGGGGCGUCAGUAUUCAGCUGUCAGAGGUGAAAUUCUUGGAUUUGCUGAAGACUAACUACUGCGAAAGCAUUCGCCAAGGAUGUUUUCAUUAAUCAGGGAACGAAAGUUAGGGGAUCGAAGACGAUCAGAUACCGUCGUAGUCUUAACCAUAAACUAUGCCGACUAGGGAUCGGGCGGUGUUUCUAUGAUGACCCGCUCGGCACCUUACGAGAAAUCAAAGUUUU